CGCGUUAACCGUUUGACGCAUGAUAGCGCCGCUAGCUAGCCGCAACACGGGCCGUGAUAAAUGGAAAACACCUGGUAUCUAGAGCCACGGAUGCCUGCAGUCGAACGGGAAACUCACUUGCAAAGUGGGCGGGAUUAAGCACCUCGGCCUGGGAAGAACUACUCAGGGCACCAAAUCCCACAAUCCAAGACAUUAGCAAACAUGGGGUCAUCGAGCUAACGAGGCUAACUGACAACCAAAGAGACGCGUUCGUUGUAUGUGAAGAUUCGAACUCUGGUGGGUCGCACCAACACAGAGACAUUCAUCUCCUCGCCUAUCAAGCGACUUGUGUCCUUCACUGACUGUAGCCUCGUGUCCACAGUAGGGAGACAUGUUGUGACUGAAAGGUGUCCUCCAGUUGCAGCAGCUAUGUUGCCCCUAAGCAGCACUUUGGUCCGGUCUGCUGUUAAGCUGCUGCCACCGCGGAACUGGCGUCCAGGGCGUUUCUGGUGCCUGUACCGAAACGUUUCUGUGAAACUAGGAGGUUUAAAGCCAAGGACUGUUCCACCUCGGUACCUGGGCCAGCCCAGCCCUUUCACCCAUCCACACCUCAUCAAACAUGGUGAGGUGACCCCAGGCUUGAGCCAAACAGAAUACGAGCUCCGCAGACACAGGCUGACCUCGCUGAUCGAGGCCCAGUCCGACAGGCUGCUGGGACCUUCCGGCUCUUCCAGCACCCACGUGGCCAUCGUGUUGUCCCAUCCAACCCGCUACAUGACCAACGACAUCCCUUAUCCUUUCCACCAGAACCAGGAUUUCCUCUACCUCAGCGGCAUCCUCGAGCCCGACAGUGCCCUGGUUCUUUACGGGAAAGGUCGACCAGACCAGGCCAUCUUAUUCGUCCCCCGCAGAGACCCGGGGAGAGAGCUGUGGGACGGGCCCCGGUCAGGGAAGGAUGGGGCGGCGGCUUUGACCGGCAUAGAGAGAGUUCACUGCACAGAGGAACUGGGUGUUGUGCUCAAGAGCCUUAAAGGCACUGUGCUGUGGUACGACGGCUCUCAGCCCGCUCACCCUCAUCUGCAUCAGGCCCACGUGGGCCCCGUGCUGGAGGCGGGGCCGAUGCUGCACUCUCUCAGGCCCCUCACGCACUCUCUCAGGGCCGUCAAGAGCUCAGCUGAGGUGGCGCUCAUGCAAGAAGCAGGUCGCAUCACAGCUCAGGCUUUCCGGAGGACGAUGGGUCUGUCUCAAGGAGACGUGGAUGAGGCUGUGCUCUUUGCUAAGUUUGAUUUUGAGAAUCGGCUCCAUGGCGCCAACUUCCUGGCCUACCCCCCUGUUGUUGCUGGUGGGAAUCGAGCCAACACUCUGCACUACAUAAACAACAACCAGAUUAUCAAGGAUGGGGAAAUGGUGCUGCUUGAUGGUGGUUGUGAAUACUUUGGUUACGUCAGUGAUGUCACUCGUACGUGGCCAGUGAAUGGAAAAUUCAGCCCGGCCCAGGCUGAGGUGUACGAGGCCGUCCUGGAGGUCCAGCGCUCCUGUCUGUCUCUCUGCUCGCCGGGCGUCAGUCUGGAUCACAUCUACAGCACCAUGCUGGCUCUGCUGGGGCGACAGCUCCGGCGGCUCGGCGUUGUGAAGGCCAGCACCAGUGAUGCUGAUGCAGUAAAGGCUGCACGGCGCUUCUGCCCCCACCACGUUGGGCAUUACCUGGGGAUGGAUGUCCACGACACUCCUGAGCUGUCGCGCUCACAGCCUCUACAGCCAGGAAUGGCCAUCACUAUAGAACCAGGGUUGUACAUCUGCGAGGACAAUGACCAGGUGCCGGAGCGUUUCCGUGGCCUGGGCGUCAGGAUUGAGGACGAUGUGGUGAUUGGAGACAAGGGAAGCCCUCUGAUUCUGUCGCGCGACGCGCCAAAGACCAUCGCCGACGUAGAGAAGGCCUGCGCCCGCAGAUAGGGGAGGGGAGACGGACGAGUGAGCUGCCGCCUCGGUGGCUGGCUGAGCGCCGUGUUUUUCCAACCGUUUCAGGGUGAUGACAUCAUCAGGCUCAGGUGAAAGGUGGGAGAACGUUGCAGGACAAGAUGGAAGUUUGUGAUCUAACGAUAUGUUCAAAGAAACCACUUCCGUGUUUGUUGUUUGCGGCAGUGAAUGAUGGUGAAAAGCUUGACAAUAAAAAGUGGAUUUGGUUGUUUGUUGAGGGGUUACGGCGUAGCUUUGGAGCUCACGCGCCUAUUCUACCCGGUAACGGACCACAACAAUGUCUGCCACUACACAUUGGUGUGGAGACUGCUGUGAUGGUGCAGGUGAAGUAUAACGUUGAACCAGAAUCAAGUAUAUUUCCAGCUGAAUGGUUAGAAGCAACACACAUCUUAACCGUAUUUGCUCCACAACAGGUUUUUUAGAAUUGUUUAGAAUUGUGGCCCAACAAGAUAUGGUUACUUGUUUGUGGGUCUUUAAAUUUUUUUUGUUAAGCCAACGUACAAACCCUUCUUUCCAUCUCUAAAGUUGAACAUUCACUCACUGAGCUGCAGGAAGGACCAGAGCAUGUCAAAUGACUACAACAUGUUGAAACACAAAAGUGAUGAAUAAAGAAGUUGGUUCGCUCUUUGACCUCCUCAUCCCUUCCUCGGACCUGGGUCUGACCAACGGAGGAGAUGUCAGCCAAUGUGCAGGCUUGAGAUACAAACAGCUGUCCGAGCUCUUGCUGCUGGAGCACCCGGACAGCAGGGUGGAGGAGGAGAUGUCAGCCAGCUCCACACCAGUCUGGAAGGACUGGGUUUGGGAGGCCAGGAUGCAGCCAUGGAACACAGGCUGCCGUCCUAUCUCUUGUGUGGCCCAAAUUCUAACCGCACGGCAACCUGGGCAUCCAUGGGGGUGAUGGGGGGUGUCUCAGGGCCAGCGACAGCAAGCUGGAUUAAUGCAGCAGGUCGGGCACCAGCAGCAGCAAGGCCAAGUCUCUGACACGCAGCCUGCGUGGCUGCUUUAAUCUGUUAAUGUUGAUAAUAAAGUUCAAGUGAGAUGUUGGAUCGGGCACGUCACAACACGCUUUUCUUCUGUUUGUGUUUGUGAAAUGUGUUAACUUGCCUUGCAAAUAAAUGCUUUGCUACUGGUUAAAACCCAAAUCAUUUCAUGUAAUGAUUUUUACAUGUGAUUUAUAUUAGUUCACACAAACACUCCAUCUGUUCCCGGUCCGGCCCUCUGUCAAACUUCAGAACCCGAUGUGGCCACACCGAGGCAAGAAACUGUCACUAGAUCACUGUGUUCUAAUAACAGAGACAGUAAAAAUGCUUGUUUCUGGUUGGCUGCGAGGUUUUCAUGAAAAUCAUUUAGCGGGACAAGCGUUCCUCGGGACAUUUUAACCACCCAUUUAAUAUCAGUGCACAGACUGCAGGUUCGUAUUUCCCACUUGAUUGUCUGUUAAACGUAUCUUAAGUCAAUCCUUCUUAUGUGUUGGGAGUUGAAUAAAGUGUCUCUGGUGUUUUA
This is a non-coding RNA of Gasterosteus aculeatus aculeatus (three-spined stickleback), 3459 nucleotides long. NCBI's taxonomy places the organism in Eukaryota, Metazoa, Chordata, Actinopteri, Perciformes, Gasterosteidae. The record is from RefSeq and is a predicted model, not a curated record.